This 68-nucleotide transfer RNA is filed under the name Nephrurus amyae. Its description in RNAcentral is "tRNA-Thr". The record is from RNAcentral. Lineage: Eukaryota; Metazoa; Chordata; Lepidosauria; Squamata; Carphodactylidae.
GUCCUAGUAGCUUACCACCAAAGCCCUGACCUUGUAAAUCAGAAACGGGUGCUACCACCCCUAAGACA